This 649-nucleotide ribosomal RNA is filed under the name uncultured archaeon. RNAcentral's name for it is "bacterial SSU rRNA". It matches the Rfam family "Archaeal small subunit ribosomal RNA", at positions 508 to 1157 of the family's 1478-position model. The record is from RNAcentral.
GCCUAAAGCGUCCGUAGCCGGUCUGACAAAUUUUCUGUGAAAUCGUACAGCUUAACUGGACGGCGUGCAGAAAACACUAUCAGACUUGGAACCAGGAGGAGUCAGAAGUAUUCUGGGGGGAGCGGUAAAAUGCUAUAAUCCCCAGAGGACUACCUAUGGCGAAGGCAUCUGACCAGAAUGGAUUCGACGGUGAGGGACGAAAGCUAGGGGAGCGAUCCGGAUUAGAUACCCGAGUAGUCCUAGCCCUAAACGAUGUGAGCAAGGUGUUGCAUGUUCAUCAGGAAUAUGCAGUGUCGAAACGAAGGUGUUAAGCUCACCGCCUGGGUAGUAUGGUCGCAAGGCUGAAACUUAAAGGAAUUGGCGGGGGAGCACUACAAGGGGUGCGGCGUGCGGUUUAAUCUAACUCAACGCAGAGAACCUCACCAGCAGCGACGGCAGGAAGAAGGUCACAUUAAAGGUGUUACCUGACGAGCCGAGAGGUGGUGCAUGGCCGUCGUCAGCUCGUGCCGUAAGGUGUCCUGUUAAGUCAGGCAACGAGCGAGACCUGUACUCAUAAUUGCUAGCAGCUCUAUCAGAGGACUGAGCACAUUAUGAGGACUGCCUUGGAAACAAGGAGGAAGGUGCAGGCUACGAUAGGUCAGUAUGCCCC